Molecule: long non-coding RNA, 228 nt
Filed under: Lathyrus oleraceus (garden pea)
Lineage: Eukaryota; Viridiplantae; Streptophyta; Magnoliopsida; Fabales; Fabaceae
Description: Pisum sativum (pea) long non-coding RNA (PSAT_LNC016882)
Source: RNAcentral
CAAAAAAAAAUGUUGAUGGUGAAGCGGCAGUGCAUAUGUUGCCAAUAGAGAAAGGUGAUGAUUUUUUUUGCAAAAUUGCAAUCCUCCAAUCAUGUUCGGACACGUGGCAAGGAAAAAUUAAAACAAAAGUAACACACCAUAUCCAUCUUUGUAUCUCUGCAGGAACAUAAAGAAAAAGCAAACAAAAUGCCAACACCUUCCUUUCAAAGCUUUUAACGCACAUUCAAG